GUUGAAGAGGGGUGUAAAACGACAUACAGGUGGUGCAGAGGAGAGAAGAAAAACAAGGCAAUAAAGCAAAAAGACAAGAAAAAUAAAAGUAAGGAAUGCAAUGGGAGAAAGGAACAGAAAUCACAUUUCUUUCCUCCCUGAGUCACUUCUGAGUCUUCAAGUAGACCAGAUGUCUCCAAGAACCACUCUACAGGGUGGCACGCCAAAAGUCGAGGAGAGGAGCAAGAAUCUCUCUCUAAACCAGUCACUGACCACCCUCCCGAGGUUACAAGAAGAAAUCCUGGACAGCCCAAGUCUAUUAAUAGUAUUCGAACAUCGUCGAAGAAAAGAAAUUUCAGAACAAGAUUAGGCAUUCUACUGAAACCUGAAGGGGAAAAACUAGCCAACACUUAGAGAAACAGAGAAGUUCCACAACCAUUUUGUGAUUACAAUGAGUGAAACUUGGGACUAAAUACUUUCAAUGUGAAUUAUGAUCAAUGACGAUCAAAUCUGUG
Molecule: long non-coding RNA, 494 nt
Filed under: Androctonus crassicauda
Lineage: Eukaryota; Metazoa; Arthropoda; Arachnida; Scorpiones; Buthidae
Source: RNAcentral